This 87-nucleotide transfer RNA is filed under the name Elusimicrobiota bacterium. Its description in RNAcentral is "Elusimicrobia bacterium (groundwater metagenome) tRNA-Ser". It matches the Rfam family "tRNA". From Rfam's summary of the family: Transfer RNA (tRNA) molecules are approximately 80 nucleotides in length. Their secondary structure includes four short double-helical elements and three loops (D, anti-codon, and T loops). Lineage: Bacteria; Pseudomonadati; Elusimicrobiota. The record is from RNAcentral.
GGAGAGAUGGCCGAGCGGUUGAAGGCGCAGGUCUCGAAAACCUGUAGGCUCGCAAGGGCCUCGUGGGUUCGAAUCCCACUCUCUCCG